GAUGAACGCUGGCGGCGUGCCUAAUACAUGCAAGUCGAGCGAACGGACGAGAAGCUUGCUUCUCUGAUGUUAGCGGCGGACGGGUGAGUAACACGUGGAUAACCUACCUAUAAGACUGGGAUAACUUCGGGAAACCGGAGCUAAUACCGGAUAAUAUUUUGAACCGCAUGGUUCAAAAGUGAAAGACGGUCUUGCUGUCACUUAUAGAUGGAUCCGCGCUGCAUUAGCUAGUUGGUAAGGUAACGGCUUACCAAGGCAACGAUGCAUAGCCGACCUGAGAGGGUGAGCGACCACACUGGAACUGGGACGCGGUCCAGACACCUACGGAAGGCAGCAGUAAGAAAUCUUCCGCGAUGGGCGAAAGCCUGACGGAGCAGCGCCGCGUGAGUGAUGAAGGUCUUCGGAUCGUAAAACUCUGUUAUUAGGGAAGAACGUAUGUGUAAGUAACUGUGCACAUCUUAACGGUACCUAAUCAGAAAGCCAGAGCUAACUACGUG
Molecule: ribosomal RNA, 497 nt
Filed under: uncultured bacterium
Lineage: Bacteria
Description: partial 16S ribosomal RNA
Rfam family: Bacterial small subunit ribosomal RNA
Source: RNAcentral